UUCUUUGGAAAAAAUGAUAAAAUGAGAAACUUAGCCAUUUUCUGCACUGGAAAACUGUGGAAAAUUACUUAGAAUUUUUUUAACUGUCGACCAAUAGUACAAUAACAUUGGGAUCGAAGUCGGGCUCGAUGAACAAUUAAUUUAAACAACAAGCCGAAAUUCAAAAAUAUCGAAUGCCAUGUUCAUGUUGCACAGAAGGAAAGUUGGAAAGAGAGUGUCUAGAACAGGGGAAUCAUGAUUAGCUUUAGAUGGAAGAAGAUGAAGACAUUUUAAGACCCGCUGUUGCUGCAUUGUGCCUGAGAUGAUCCCCUCAGCGCUGGCGUUUGAUAACUUGGUGGAUGUAGAUGCUUAGCCAGUCAGUCUCUAGGCUUGUGAAUAUGGAAUCCGGGUGCUCACAAGGACAAGAGGUGUAUGAAAAGAAAAACAUAAAGAAAUCGUGUAAGGAUCGAAAGUUUGAAGUGUCUGUUGGAAUGAUCAACAUCGAACUUUCUGAGCCUUCGUACUGAAAGUGAAUCCGUUCGUGACACCAAUUAACUGUCAACCUUCUAACAUAACCAUUUACUAAUUUCAUAGAAUAUCAGUGAGGAAGUGAUUCUCUAGCAAACACGUCAGAAGUUUUGGAUCUUCAUUAAUUGGGAUCUUUGGCACUUACGUUGGGGGGAAAUAGCAUCUGUUGAUUUUAUGGGAUCAUUGUAUCAAUGUAGUUGUGUAGUACAUAUUUUUUGCAUGUAAUACAUGUGUUUGUCACUCUAGUCAAUAACUUUGUACCAGUACAUAAGCAUGAUAAGCCACUGGCAAUUCAUUGUAAAUGUAUACUUUGUUGAGGUCUCAAUGACUAUUCCAAUUCCAUAGCCAAUUUCAUUUAUUAAAACUUACUUCUUAUUUUAGAAAAUGCAGACUGGAGUUUACUAAAUUCAUGUAUAUCAUAACAUGAUUAUCAUUAAUUUAACCAAGGUGACUGAUUCUCCGGUAAUCAUAUUUUCUCUGUAAAUAACCUUUAAUGUAAAAUACUUUCCGUGAGAAUAUUUUAUGAAAGUGUGCUUAUA
Molecule: long non-coding RNA, 1046 nt
Organism: Saccostrea cuccullata (small rock oyster)
Lineage: Eukaryota; Metazoa; Mollusca; Bivalvia; Ostreida; Ostreidae
Exons: 4
Source: RefSeq, a predicted model, not a curated record